RNAcentral lists this ribosomal RNA (433 nucleotides) under uncultured bacterium. RNAcentral describes it as "partial 16S ribosomal RNA". It matches the Rfam family "Bacterial small subunit ribosomal RNA", at positions 29 to 507 of the family's 1533-position model. The record is from RNAcentral.
AACGAACGCUGGCGGCAGGCCUAACACAUGCAAGUCGAGCGAGAUCUUCGGGUCUAGCGGCGGACGGGUGAGUAACGCGUGGGAAUAUGCCUCUUGGUACGGAAUAGCCUCGGGAAACUGGGAGUAAUACCGCAUGUGCCCUUUGGGGGAAAGAUUUAUCGCCAAGGGAUUAGCCCGCGUUGGAUUAGGUAGUUGGUGGGGUAAUGGCCUACCAAGCCGACGAUCCAUAGCUGGUUUGGGAGGAUGACCAGCCACACUGGAACUGAGACACGGCCCAGACUCCUACGGGAGGCAGCAGUGGGGUAUCUUAGACGAGGGGGGCAGACCUGAUCUAGCCAUGCCGCGGGAGUGAUGAAGGCCUUAGGGUUGUAAAGCUCUUUCAGCUGGGAAGAUAAUGACGGUACCAGCAGAAGAAGCCCCGGCUAACUCCGUG